GACGAACGCUGGCGGCGUGCUUAACACAUGCAAGUCGAACGGAAAGGCCCUGCUUUUGUGGGGUGCUCCAGUGACUAACGGGUGGGUAACACGUGUGUAACCUGCCCUUGCCUUUGGGAUCACUUCAGUAAACUGGGGCUAAUACCGGAUAGUAGCUCCUGCUGCAUGGUGGGGGGUGGAAAGUUUCGGCGGUUGGGGUUGCACUCGCGGCUUAUCAGCAUGUCGGUGGGGUGGUGGCUUACGAAGGCGUUGACGGGUAGACGGCCUGGAAGGGUGACCGGAGACAUUGGGAAGGAUAUAACGCCCAGACGCCUACGGGAGUAAGCAGUGGGGAAUAGUGCACAAUGGGCGGAAGCCUGAUGCAGCAACGCCGCGUGCGGGAUGAUGGCCUUCGUUUUGUAAACCGCUUUCGCCUGUGACGAAGCGGUAGUGACGGUAAUGGGUAAAGAAGCACCGGCUAACUACGUG
This 468-nucleotide ribosomal RNA is filed under the name uncultured bacterium. RNAcentral's name for it is "partial 16S ribosomal RNA". It matches the Rfam family "Bacterial small subunit ribosomal RNA", at positions 28 to 507 of the family's 1533-position model. The record is from RNAcentral.